GUGGGGAAUAUUGGGCAAUGGGCGAAAGCCUGACCCAGCAACGCCGCGUGAAGGAAGAAGGCUUUCGGGUUGUAAACUUCUUUUGUCAGGGACGAAAAAAAUGACGGUACCUGACGAAUAAGCCACGGCUAACUACGUGCCAGCAGCCGCGGUAAUACGUAGGUGGCAAGCGUUAUCCGGAUUUACUGGGUGUAAAGGGCGUGUAGGCGGGAAAGCAAGUCAGAUGUGAAAACUAUGGGCUCAACCCAUAGCCUGCAUUUGAAACUGUUUUUCUUGAGUACUGGGGAGGCAGAUGGAAUUCCUAGUGUAGCGGUGAAAUGCGUAGAUAUUAGGAGGAACACCAGUGGCGAAGGCGAUCUGCUGGACAGCAACUGACGCUGAGGCGCGAAAGCGUGGGGAGCAAACAGGAUUAGAAACCCUUGUAGUCC
This 428-nucleotide ribosomal RNA is filed under the name uncultured bacterium. Its description in RNAcentral is "partial 16S ribosomal RNA". It matches the Rfam family "Bacterial small subunit ribosomal RNA", at positions 354 to 796 of the family's 1533-position model. The record is from RNAcentral.